UUAACACAAAUUUGUAUAGCGUUGGAACGCUUGCCUACGUUUGCCGCUAGGGGCGCUGUUCCAACUGCAUACACAUUUGAGUUA
Molecule: non-coding RNA, 84 nt
Organism: Bombyx mori (domestic silkworm)
Lineage: Eukaryota; Metazoa; Arthropoda; Insecta; Lepidoptera; Bombycidae
Source: Rfam